RNAcentral lists this ribosomal RNA (1407 nucleotides) under Roseiflexus sp. RNAcentral describes it as "partial 23S ribosomal RNA". It matches the Rfam family "Bacterial large subunit ribosomal RNA", at positions 480 to 1988 of the family's 2925-position model. The record is from RNAcentral. Lineage: Bacteria; Bacillati; Chloroflexota; Chloroflexia; Chloroflexales; Roseiflexaceae.
GUGACCGAUAGUGAACCAGUACCGUGAGGGAAAGGUGAAAAGAACCCCGGGAGGGGAGUGAAAGAGAGCAUGAAACCGUGUGCCUACAAGCAGUGGGAGCCCGAUUGAACGGGUGACCGCGUGCCUGUUGAAGAAUGAGCCAGCGAGUUACAGCGUGGGGCAGGUUAAGGCGGGAAUGCCGGAGCCAAAGGGAAACCGAGUCUGAAUAGGGCGUUGGUCGCACGCUGUAGACCCGAACCUGGGUGAUCUAACCAUGGCCAGGCUGAAGCUUGGGUAAAGCCAAGUGGAGGGCCGAACCGGUUGAUGUUGAAAAAUCAUCGGAUGAGCUGUGGUUAGGGGUGAAAUGCCAAUCGAACCCAGAGCUAGCUGGUUCUCCCCGAAAUGCGUUGAGGCGCAGCGUCGACAGGUACCUGGUGGGGUAGAGCUCUGAAUCGAUGCGGGCGGCGAGAGCUGUACCAAAUCGAACCAAACUGCGAAUACGCCAGGGUUAGUCGGCAGUGAGACGGUGGGGGAUAAGCUCCAUCGUCGAGAGGGGAACAGCCCAGACCACCAACUAAGGCCCCCAAGACAUCGCUCAGUGGUUAAGGAGGUGGGGGUGCGAAGACAACCAGGAGGUUGGCUUAGAAGCAGCCACCCUUUAAACAGUGCGUAACAGCUGACUGGUCAAGCGCCCUUGCGCCGAAAAUGAACGGGACUAAGCGAUGCGCCGAAGUUGUGGAUGUGAAUGGUAGGGGAGCGUUCCGCACUAGGGUGAAGCGGUAGCGUGAGCAGCCGUGGACGAGGCGGAAGUGAGAAUGUUGGCUUGAGUAGCGCAAACAUUGGUGAGAAUCCAAUGCCCCGAAAACCCAAGGGUUCCCCCGGAAGGUUCGUCCGCGGGGGGUUAGUCGGGACCUAAGGCGAGGCCGACAGGCGUAGUCGAUGGAGACAGGGUUGAUAAUCCCUGACUGGCAACUGGAGCUGAGGAGGGACGCACGAGAGCUAGCCACACCCUGAAUGGAUUGGGAGGGGUCUACGGACUCCGCGUGGUGAAGGGUAGUGCCAAGAAAAGCUCGUAGGCGAUGAAGGUUGUCACCCGUACCCGAAACCGACACAGGUGGGUGGGUAGAGGAUACCGAGGGGCGCGAGAUAACCCUCUCUAAGGAACUCGGCAAAAUGACCCCGUAACUUCGGGAGAAGGGGUGCCAGCGCGAGCUGGCCGCAGUGAAAGGGCCCAGGCAACUGUUUACCAAAAACACAGGUCUCUGCUAAGUCGCAAGACGACGUAUAGGGGCUGACGCCUGCCCAGUGCCGGAAGGUUAAGGAAGUCGGUUAGCGCAAGCGAAGCUGGCGACCGAAGCCCCGGUGAACGGCGGCCGUAACUAUAACGGUCCUAAGGUAGCGAAAUUCCUUGUCGGGUAAGUUCCGACC